UACGUAUGUCGCAAGCGUUAUCCGGAAUUAUUGGGCAUAAAGGGCAUCUAGGCGGAUAUACAAGUCAGGGGUGAAAACUUAGGGCUCAACUCAAAGCUUGCCUUUGAAACUGUAUAUCUAGAGUGCUGGAGAGGUGGACGGAACUGCACGAGUAGAGGUGAAAUUCGUAGAUAUGUGCAGGAAUGCCGAUGAUGAAGAUAGUUCACUGGACGGCAACUGACGCUGAAGUGCGAAAGCUAGGGGAGCAAACAGG
RNAcentral lists this ribosomal RNA (253 nucleotides) under uncultured bacterium. RNAcentral describes it as "partial 16S ribosomal RNA". It matches the Rfam family "Bacterial small subunit ribosomal RNA", at positions 524 to 776 of the family's 1533-position model. The record is from RNAcentral.